GGCCCCCGACCCGGGAUCUCUACCCAAAAGGAGGCGGUUAGAACACAGAGAUUGAUCAUGCCUACAAUGACAACUGGAAAACAGAAAUGAAACCAUAUAAGCCAAGCACUCACGCAAUCUUUGUCCUCCCAGUUGACUUAAGAACACUUGUGAAGAAAAUGUGGCGUCUUUAGAUCUCAGGAACUGUUGGUGUCCCUACUUUCCAGAUGGAGAAGUUGAAGCCCGGAGAACUCAACUUGAAAGUACAACCUGCUGGCCUAAACAAGAUGCUGUGCCUUGUAUUUCAACCCAAAGAAUAAGAUGGAGAUGGAGACGAAUGAGAGGCAUGCAAAUCAUAAAAGUCCACAGAAUCUUGUACAUUACUUGAUACAUGGAAUGUACUAAUAAAUAUUUGCUAAAUGAAAAA
Long non-coding RNA from Homo sapiens (human), 406 nucleotides. Ensembl annotates it as long intergenic non-protein coding RNA 1312. Lineage: Eukaryota; Metazoa; Chordata; Mammalia; Primates; Hominidae. The record is from Ensembl.